Molecule: ribosomal RNA, 447 nt
Filed under: uncultured organism
Description: partial 16S ribosomal RNA
Rfam family: Bacterial small subunit ribosomal RNA
Source: RNAcentral
ACACUCCUACGGGAGGCAGCAGUGGGGAAUAUUGGACAAUGGGCGCAAGCCUGAUCCAGCCAUGCCGCGUGAGUGAUGAAGGCCCUAGGGUUGUAAAGCUCUUUCACCGGUGAAGAUAAUGACGGUAACCGGAGAAGAAGCCCCGGCUAACUUCGUGCCAGCAGCCGCGGUAAUACGAAGGGGGCUAGCGUUGUUCGGAUUUACUGGGCGUAAAGCGCACGUAGGCGGACUAUUAAGUCAGGGGUGAAAUCCCGGGGCUCAACCCCGGAACUGCCUGUGAUACUGGUAGUCUUGAGUUCGAGGGAGGUGGGUGGAAUUCCGAGUGUAGAGGUGAAAUUCGUAGAUAGUCGGAGGAACACCAGUGGCGAAGGCGGCUCACUGGCUCGAUACUGACGCUGAGGUGCGAAAGCGUGGGGAGCAAACAGGAUUAGAAACCCCUGUAGUCCC